Molecule: ribosomal RNA, 445 nt
Filed under: uncultured bacterium
Lineage: Bacteria
Description: bacterial SSU rRNA
Rfam family: Bacterial small subunit ribosomal RNA
Source: RNAcentral
UCCGUGGCUACAGAACGAACGCCGGCGGCAUGCCUAACACAUGCAAGUCGAACGGGACCUUCGGGUCUAGUGGCGCACGGGUGCGUAACGCGUGGGAAUCUGCCCUUGGGUUCGGAAUAACAGUUAGAAAUGACUGCUAAUACCGGAUAAUGUCUUCGGACCAAAGAUUUAUCGCCCAGGGAUGAGCCCGCGUAGGAUUAGCUAGUUGGUGAGGUAAAGGCUCACCAAGGCGACGAUCCUUAGCUGGUCUGAGAGGAUGAUCAGCCACACUGGGACUGAGACACGGCCCAGACUCCUACGGGAGGCAGCAGUGGGGAAUAUUGGACAAUGGGCGAAAGCCUGAUCCAGCAAUGCCGCGUGAGUGAUGAAGGCCUUAGGGUUGUAAAGCUCUUUACCAGGGAUGAUAAUGACAGUACCUGGAGAAUAAGCUCCGGCUAACUCCGUG